AUGCUGGCUGCAGUGAAGAUGAAAAAGUCACUAGAGUUGAUAAACUCUAGGUUCCAACUCAUUGUGAAAAGUGGAUAGUACAUGCUGGGAUGCAAGCAGACUCUGAAUAUGAUCAGACAAGGCAAAGCGAAAUCAGUUGACCUCACCACAACUGCCCAGCUUUGAGGAAAUAUAAAAUAAAGUACAAUGCCACACUGGCCAAAACUGGUGUCCAUCACCACAGUGGCAAUAAUUUGGAAUUGGGCACAGGUUGGGGAAAAUACUGCACACACUGGCUAUCAUUGACCCCAUUCUGAUAUCAUUAGUAGCAUGCCAGAGCAGACUGGUGAAAAGUAA
RNAcentral lists this long non-coding RNA (336 nucleotides) under Homo sapiens (human). RNAcentral describes it as "non-protein coding lnc-GPAT3-1:2". Lineage: Eukaryota; Metazoa; Chordata; Mammalia; Primates; Hominidae. The record is from RNAcentral.